This 603-nucleotide unclassified non-coding RNA is filed under the name Hevea brasiliensis (rubber tree). Lineage: Eukaryota; Viridiplantae; Streptophyta; Magnoliopsida; Malpighiales; Euphorbiaceae. The record is from RNAcentral.
UGUAAGAAACCUUAAUUUAAAAUUCUUACAAGUGGUAUGAUGUUCUCUUUUAGUAAAAUGUUAAUGGACAAAGUACAUCUAAUUCUGUGGCAUAAUUUCUGCCAAGCAUACUCCCAAUGUAACCUAUCUUCCAGAUUCAAGUGCCCAAAGAAAUUAACCUUAAUAUAGUUUUGCCACCUGAUUUUUUGAUGGUGACUCUUUGAAUAAAUUUUCCCCCAUUUUUCACGUAAAUGAUCUACAUAUCAACACCAAGAGGAUGCCAAUCCACAAUGCCACAUAUAAAACUGAUCUCAUAUGAAUGAUAAGCAAUCUAUAAAAUAAAACAAGUAUUUAACCACAAAAAUAAGUCCAGAAUAGGACUCUUAGGAGACGUGAGUUCAGAGCGAUGCAAAAGGAUUUAUUUCAUUGGGGUCUCAGUGAAGUACAAAAGGUAAUCAAAUGGCUCCACUAGAAGCAUGAAUAAAAUCACAAAGAAAUGAAAGCUAAAAGGAAGUGAAUAAAACUUAACAAGUUGCAGCAAUUAAGUUUUGAGUGUCCAUUCAUGAUUCAUGCAUACUUUUAAUUUUAUAUUAACACAAAUGUUAGAAUCCCUUAAUUAGUGUA